UCCCUGGUGGCUCAGAGGUUAAAGCGUCUGCCUGCAAUGCAGGAGACUUGGGUUCAUUCCCUGAGUUGGGAA
Non-coding RNA from Bos taurus (domestic cattle), 72 nucleotides. The record is from Rfam. NCBI's taxonomy places the organism in Eukaryota, Metazoa, Chordata, Mammalia, Artiodactyla, Bovidae.